AUUGAACGCUGGCGGCAUGCUUUACACAUGCAAGUCGGACGGCAGCACAGAGAAGCUUGCUUCUUGGGUGGCGAGUGGCGAACGGGUGAGUAACAUAUCGGAACGUACCGAGCAGUGGGGGAUAACUAAUCGAAAGAUUAGCUAAUACCGCAUAUUUUCUGAGGAAGAAAGCAGGGGACCUUUGGGCCUUGCGCUGUUUGAGCGGCCGAUAUCUGAUUAGCUAGUUGGUGGGGUAAAGGCCUACCAAGGCGACGAUCAGUAGCGGGUCUGAGAGGAUGAUCGGCCACACUGGGACUGAGACACGGCCCAGACUCCUACGGGAGGCAGCAGUGGGGAAUUUUGGACAAUGGGCGCAAGCCUGAUCCAGCCAUGCCGCGUGUCUGAAGAAGGCCUUCGGGUUGUAAAGGACUUUUGUCAGGGAAGAAAAGGGCGGGGUUAAUACCCCUGUCUGAUGACGGUACCUGAAGAAUAAGCACCGGCUAACUACGUG
Molecule: ribosomal RNA, 490 nt
Filed under: uncultured bacterium
Lineage: Bacteria
Description: partial 16S ribosomal RNA
Rfam family: Bacterial small subunit ribosomal RNA
Source: RNAcentral